This 250-nucleotide ribosomal RNA is filed under the name uncultured bacterium. RNAcentral's name for it is "partial 16S ribosomal RNA". It matches the Rfam family "Bacterial small subunit ribosomal RNA", at positions 102 to 353 of the family's 1533-position model. The record is from RNAcentral.
ACGGGUGAGUAAUGUCUGGGAAACUGCCUGAUGGAGGGGGAUAACUACUGGAAACGGUAGCUAAUACCGCAUAAUGUCGCAAGACCAAAGAGGGGGACCUUCGGGCCUCCUGCCAUCGGAUGUGCCCAGAUGGGAUUAGCUAGUAGGUGGGGUAACGGCUCACCUAGGCGACGAUCCCUAGCUGGUCUGAGAGGAUGACCAGCCACACUGGAGCUGAGACACGGUCCAGACUCCUACGGGAGGCAGCAUG